This 429-nucleotide ribosomal RNA is filed under the name uncultured bacterium. Its description in RNAcentral is "bacterial SSU rRNA". It matches the Rfam family "Bacterial small subunit ribosomal RNA", at positions 355 to 776 of the family's 1533-position model. The record is from RNAcentral.
UGGGGAAUAUUGGACAAUGGGGGCAACCCUGAUCCAGCGAUGCCGCGUGUGUGAAGAAGGCCUGAGGGUUGUAAAGCACUUUCAGCGGGGAGGAGGACUGAUAGGUUAAGAGCUGAUUAGUUGGACGUUACCCGCAGAAGAAGCACCGGCUAACUCCGUGCCAGCAGCCGCGGUAAUACGGAGGGUGCGAGCGUUAAUCGGAAUUACUGGGCGUAAAGGGUGCGUAGGUGGUUAGUUAAGUUAUGUGUGAAAGCCCUGGGCUUAACCUGGGGAUUGCAGAUAAAACUGGUUAACUAGAGUAUGAGAGAGGGUAGUGGAAUUUCCGGUGUAGCGGUGAAAUGCGUAGAGAUCGGAAGGAACACCAGUGGCGAAGGCGGCUACCUGGCUUAAUACUGACACUGAGGCACGAAAGCAUGGGGAGCAAACAGG